ACAACACUUCAUUAUUUUUAAACACUUGGAGAUCUCUGUGAUAAAUGACUCUUAAAAGUAGUCAUGAUUGGGAGCAUAGGGCUCUGCUCCAUGAUGUACAGUCCCUUUCCAUAAUGUUGGUGAAGAAGCUGGGCCUUGUGUCUGCAUCUGACUAUUUCUACAUCUUCUCAAAGUCCUUUGGGCAAUGACUGAGGAGAUAAACCAUGCAAGAAACAAUG
RNAcentral lists this small nucleolar RNA (218 nucleotides) under Chinchilla lanigera (long-tailed chinchilla). Its description in RNAcentral is "Small nucleolar RNA SNORA73 family (ENSCLAG00000019960.1)". It matches the Rfam family "Small nucleolar RNA SNORA73 family". From Rfam's summary of the family: U17 (SNORA73A and SNORA73B) also known as E1 belongs to the H/ACA class of small nucleolar RNAs (snoRNAs). Lineage: Eukaryota; Metazoa; Chordata; Mammalia; Rodentia; Chinchillidae. The record is from RNAcentral.